RNAcentral lists this ribosomal RNA (460 nucleotides) under uncultured bacterium. Its description in RNAcentral is "partial 16S ribosomal RNA". It matches the Rfam family "Bacterial small subunit ribosomal RNA", at positions 338 to 795 of the family's 1533-position model. The record is from RNAcentral.
CCUACGGGAGGCAGCAGUGAGGAAUCUUUGUCAAUGGACGAGAGUCUGAACCAGCCAAGUAGCGUGAAGGAUGACUGCCCUAUGGGUUGUAAACUUCUUUUAUAUGGGAAUAAAAUGUUCCACGUGUGGGAUUUUGUAUGUACCCUAUGAAUUCGGAUCGGCUAACUCCGUUCCAGCCGCCGCUGUAAUACGGAGGCUCCGAGCGUUAUCCGGAUUUAUUGGGUUUAAAGGUAGCGUAGAUGGGUUGUUAAGUCAGUUGUGAACGUUUGCGGCUCAACCGUAAAAUUGCAAUUGAUACUGGGAGUCUUGAGUACAGGUGAGGUAGGCGGAAUUCGUGGUGUAGCGGUGAAAUGCGUAGAUAUAUGGAGGAACACCAGUGGCGAAGGCGACGAGCUGGUCUGCAACUGACGCUCAGUCCCGAAAGCGUGGGGAGCAAAUAGGAUUAGAUACCCCUGUAGUC